UACGUAGGGGUCGAGCGUUGUCCGGAGUUACUGGGCGUAAAGCGCACGUAGGCGGCUUUGUAAGUCGGAUGUGAAAGCCCUCGGCUCAACCGAGGAAGUGCAUUCGAAACUGCAAGGCUUGAGUAUGGAAGAGGGUCGCGGAAUUCCCGGUGUAGAGGUGAAAUUCGUAGAUAUCGGGAGGAACACCAGUGGCGAAGGCGGCGACCUGGGCCAAUACUGACGCUGAGGUGCGAAAGCGUGGGGAGCAAACAGG
Molecule: ribosomal RNA, 253 nt
Filed under: uncultured bacterium
Lineage: Bacteria
Description: partial 16S ribosomal RNA
Rfam family: Bacterial small subunit ribosomal RNA
Source: RNAcentral